UGAGGAAUAUUGCCCAAUGGGGGAAACCCUGAGGCAGCAACGCCGCGUGAACGAAGACGGCCUUCGGGUUGUAAAGUUCUUUUCUGGGGGACGAUAAUGACGGUACCCCAGGAAUAAGUUCCGGCUAACUACGUGCCAGCAGCCGCGGUAAAACGUAGGGGACAAGCGUUAUCCGGAUUUACUGGGCGUAAAGCGCACGUAGGCGGUAGGGUAAGUUGGCCGUGAAAGCUCCCGGCUUAACUGGGAGAGGUCGGACAAAACUGCCGGACUUGAGGCUGAGAGAGGAGAGCGGAAUUCCCGGUGUAGUGGUGGAAUGCGUAGAUAUCGGGAGGAACACCAGUGGCGAAGGCGGCUCUCUGGCUCAGAACUGACGCUGAGGUGCGAAAGCGUGGGGAGCGAACGG
This 403-nucleotide ribosomal RNA is filed under the name uncultured bacterium. Its description in RNAcentral is "bacterial SSU rRNA". It matches the Rfam family "Bacterial small subunit ribosomal RNA", at positions 355 to 775 of the family's 1533-position model. The record is from RNAcentral.